RNAcentral lists this unclassified non-coding RNA (379 nucleotides) under fungal sp. RNAcentral describes it as "partial internal transcribed spacer region". The stretch from base 1 to 46 matches the Rfam family "Eukaryotic small subunit ribosomal RNA", at positions 1786 to 1831 of the family's 1831-position model. Lineage: Eukaryota; Fungi. The record is from RNAcentral.
AAGUCGUAACAAGGUUUCCGUAGGUGAACCUGCGGAAGGAUCAUUAACACGUAUCCAACGUUAAAACAACCCCGUGAACUUUCAGCUUGCUCCUGUAGCCCGUGAAAGCAGCAAUCCCGACCUCUGCAGAUUGUGAUAUUUUAUAGCUACGGUUGAGCGAUUGCAUCUAGUGACCUGGCAUCCCCAAGUAAUCAGUGUUCUGAAAGUGUCAUUGAUUGUGUAAGGAUGGCGCAGUCACGAUCGCUGUAGGCCCACACGGCCGGCGACCGGGUCACCGGGCUCUGCUCCUUUACGACAACUACAGUCUAACUUCGCCGCGCGUGAAAUUCGCACGGCACCAAAAACCGAACAACUGUUAACAAUGGAUAUCUUGGUUCUC